This 460-nucleotide ribosomal RNA is filed under the name uncultured bacterium. RNAcentral describes it as "partial 16S ribosomal RNA". It matches the Rfam family "Bacterial small subunit ribosomal RNA", at positions 338 to 795 of the family's 1533-position model. The record is from RNAcentral.
CCUACGGGAGGCAGCAGUGAGGAAUAUUGGACAAUGGGCGUAAGCCUGAACCAGCCAAGUCGCGUGAGGGAUGAAGGUUCUAUGGAUCGUAAACCUCUUUUAUAAGGGAGUAAAGUGCGGGACGUGUCCCGGUUUGUAUGUACCUUAUGAAUAAGGAUCGGCUAACUCCGUGCCAGCAGCCGCGGUAAUACGGAGGAUCCGAGCGUUAUCCGGAUUUAUUGGGUGUAAAGGGUGCGUAGGCGGCCUUUUAAGUCAGCGGUGAAAGUCUGUGGCUCAACCAUAGAAUUGCCGUUGAAACUGGGAGGCUUGAGUAUGUUUGAGGCAGGCGGAAUGCGUGGUGUAGCGGUGAAAUGCUUAGAUAGCACGCAGAACCCCGAUUGCGAAGGCAGCCUGCUAAGCCAUGACUGACGCUGAUGCACGAAAGCGUGGGGAUCAAACAGGAUUAGAUACCCGUGUAGUC